UACGGAGGGUCCGAGCGUUAUCCGGAAUUAUUGGGUUUAAAGGGUCCGUAGGCGGGCCGAUAAGUCAGGGGUGAAAGUCUGCGGCUCAACCGUAGAACUGCCUUUGAUACUGUCGGUCUUGAGUUAUGGUGAAGUGGGCGGAAUAUGUAGUGUAGCGGUGAAAUGCAUAGAUAUUACAUAGAACACCGAUUGCGAAGGCAGCCCGCUAACCGUAUACUGACGCUGAUGGACGAAAGCGUGGGGAGCGAACAGG
Molecule: ribosomal RNA, 253 nt
Filed under: uncultured bacterium
Lineage: Bacteria
Description: partial 16S ribosomal RNA
Rfam family: Bacterial small subunit ribosomal RNA
Source: RNAcentral